GAAAUAUGAAAUUCGAGAAAAAGCUUCUAACUUUGUUCUCUAGCGGCGAAAUUCCGUUAAUAUUUCU
RNAcentral lists this transfer RNA (67 nucleotides) under Pyrophorus divergens (Brazilian luminescent click beetle). RNAcentral describes it as "tRNA-Ser". The record is from RNAcentral. Lineage: Eukaryota; Metazoa; Arthropoda; Insecta; Coleoptera; Elateridae.